This 254-nucleotide long non-coding RNA is filed under the name Elaeis guineensis (African oil palm). RNAcentral's name for it is "long non-coding RNA (EGUI_LNC015605)". Lineage: Eukaryota; Viridiplantae; Streptophyta; Magnoliopsida; Arecales; Arecaceae. The record is from RNAcentral.
AGUUGGUCGGUCAUGAUGAGUCGGCCAUAAAGAUGGUAAGUCGGUCACGGUGAGUCGGCCAUGAAGACGGUCGGUCGGCCAUGAUGAGUCAGCCAUGAAGACGGUCGGUCGGUCAUGAAGAUGGUAAGUCGGUCAUGGUGAGUUGGCCAUGAAGAUGGUCGGUCGGUUUGCUUGGUCGAAACUCAGUUGGUAGUCGCUUUCAGGGUCGUCUGUCUAUUUGGUGGACAGAGUCGGGUGUUGGUCGUAUUUGGCUG